GCUCAACUUAGCUCAACUGGUUAGAGCAAGGGACUGAAAAUCCUUGUGUCAGUGGUUUGAAUCCACUUCUAAGCG
RNAcentral lists this transfer RNA (75 nucleotides) under Helianthus annuus (common sunflower). RNAcentral describes it as "tRNA HanXRQr2_Chr13g0602631". The stretch from base 9 to 67 matches the Rfam family "tRNA", at positions 8 to 63 of the family's 71-position model. From Rfam's summary of the family: Transfer RNA (tRNA) molecules are approximately 80 nucleotides in length. Lineage: Eukaryota; Viridiplantae; Streptophyta; Magnoliopsida; Asterales; Asteraceae. The record is from RNAcentral.